CGGAGGGAGACGUGUUUGGAUUCAAUGUAGGACGCAGAAAGACCCUGAAGAAAUAAAGUCGAGCAUGUAUCGAGCUGCUACAAGCAAACGCGUGCACUGCCCCUUGCGUUCCAGAAACACUUGUAUUCGGGAAGCCUGGCUGUACUCCUUAAAACCCGAGAGGAAAUCCAAAAACAAAGGUGAACCUAAUUCGCACCACAAAAAAGACAGGGGUGCACGUCAGUUACGCGGGAUAAGGGAGAGAUAUCCAUCAUCAUCAUGCUGAAGGAGGAUCAAAACUAACUGGGACUAAUUUGUCCCACAUGGAAGAGUUUGGAAAUGUCUAUUGCAGUUGGAGCAUGUGUCCCUAGCCUACAUAAGAAAGCUUGCAAACAAUAAUGACCUUUGAGAUGGGUACAAGGAACAAGACUCAGGAGAAACCAAAAUCUUUUUCUAUUUGGUUUCGACACCAUCUCCCAUCUUGUCAUUGUGCUGGGAAUUGACUGGAUGAACCAGGAUAAACAGGAAGUGAGCGAAGACCGAACUAGCAGGGGGCACUGCUGUUUGCUGUUCCGACUUCCUGCCUGUUGCGCAUCGCCAUCCUGCUGAGCUCUGAUAGGACGACUCUGUCCAGAUGGCCCAACCUGAUAGGACAGGCUGGCCACUGGUGGGCAAAACACCGCAAAACCUCAAGGCUCUUCAUCACAAGUUUGACUGGGGGUUCCCAUGAAUGAGCAGCAUCCAAAUCCCGGCUUUCUCCUAUCCAUUUUAACAAAGGAGCCGUUACAAGGCUAUUUAUAACACUGCUUGUGAAAAAAAGGUUUUUACAUAUCAGCUGAGUUUUGAAAAAAAUAGUUCAAGUAUUUGUGUGAAUAUGUUAAUUUGUUGCAUGACUGCAGCUGCAUCAGUGCAGCUGUUUCAGUUUUCACAUCAAAUGUGUGGCACAUGAAACACAGCCAUGCAGUGUAGAAAGGAUGUGCUAAAUUUCAUUUCUAAUGCAUCAUUGCAGAAAGCCAGAUUCUCAGAUAGAGAAAGUGGGGGGCUCAGUUAAAACUAGACUAAGUGGAGGUGUCAAAAAGAAGAACAGGAGUCCAAGCUAAAAAUGGCAAAUGUAUCUUUUACAAGACAGUUUGUGUUGAUUUAAGCCUGCUCUUUUGUGGUUGACUGUAUAUGGUAUUUGCAUAUAUGUUUUAAAAGGCUCUUAAAAGUUUGAAAGUGCUCAUGGCAUGGGAGAUUGAUAGUUAUGCUGAAAGUUAUAUGUGGUUUAACUUAUUGCAUCAGGUUUUUUUAAAAACAUGCUAGUAGGAUGAAAGGUCACUGAUCAUUUGUCCCAACAUAUUUACAGUGUUAGUGAUCCCCUGUAAGUAAAGCAGAACCUUAUGACCCCUGCCAGCACACCUGCAUCACCACUUGUAUCAGCAGAAAAUGAUCUAUUGAAGCAGCAAACCAAGAAGUAUCUUUCUUUCUGUUUUUGUUGCAUUCCCACAGGACUGAUAUAAUCAACACUGAUUCAAGGGAUAG
Long non-coding RNA from Lepisosteus oculatus (spotted gar), 1500 nucleotides. RefSeq lists it as uncharacterized. The record is from RefSeq and is a predicted model, not a curated record. Lineage: Eukaryota; Metazoa; Chordata; Actinopteri; Semionotiformes; Lepisosteidae.